AAAAGCCUCUAAGCAUCAGGUAACAUCAAAUCGUACCCCAAACCGACACAGGUGGUCAGGUAGAGAAUACCAAGGCGCUUGAGAGAACUCGGGUGAAGGAACUAGGCAAAAUGGUGCCGUAACUUCGGGAGAAGGCACGCUGAUAUGUAGGUGAAGCGACUUGCUCGUGGAGCUGAAAUCAGUCGAAGAUACCAGCUGGCUGCAACUGUUUAUUAAAAACACAGCACUGUGCAAACACGAAAGUGGACGUAUACGGUGUGACGCCUGCCCGGUGCCGGAAGGUUAAUUGAUGGGGUCAGCGCAAGCGAAGCUCUUGAUCGAAGCCCCGGUAAACGGCGGCCGUAACUAUAACGGUCCUAAGGUAGCGAAAUUCCUUGUCGGGUAAGUUCCGACCUGCACGAAUGGCGUAAUGAUGGCCAGGCUGUCUCCACCCGAGACUCAGUGAAAUUGAACUCGCUGUGAAGAUGCAGUGUACCCGCGGCAAGACGGAAAGACCCCGUGAACCUUUACUAUAGCUUGACACUGAACAUUGAGCCUUGAUGUGUAGGAUAGGUGGGAGGCUUGGAAGUGUGGACGCCAGUCUGCAUGGAGCCGACCUUGAAAUACCACCCUUUAAUGUUUGAUGUUCUAACGUUGACCCGUAAUCCGGGUUGCGGACAGUGUCUGGUGGGUAGUUUGACUGGGGCGGUCUCCUCCUAAAGAGUAACGGAGGAGCACGAAGGUUGGCUAAUCCUGGUCGGACAUCAGGAGGUUAGUGCAAUGGCAUAAGCCAGCUUGACUGCGAGCGUGACGGCGCGAGCAGGUGCGAAAGCAGGUCAUAGUGAUCCGGUGGUUCUGAAUGGAAGGGCCAUCGCUCAACGGAUAAAAGGUACUCCGGGGAUAACAGGCUGAUACCGCCCAAGAGUUCAUAUCGACGGCGGUGUUUGGCACCUCGAUGUCGGCUCAUCACAUCCUGGGGCUGAAGUAGGUCCCAAGGGUAUGGCUGUUCGCCAUUUAAAGUGGUACGCGAGCUGGGUUUAGAACGUCGUGAGACAGUUCGGUCCCUAUCUGCCGUGGGCGCUGGAGAACUGAGGGGGGCUGCUCCUAGUACGAGAGGACCGGAGUGGACGCAUCACUGGUGUUCGGGUUGUCAUGCCAAUGGCACUGCCCGGUAGCUAAAUGCGGAAGAGAUAAGUGCUGAAAGCAUCUAAGCACGAAACUUGCCCCGAGAUGAGUUCUCCCUGACUCCUUGAGAGUCCUGAAGGAACGUUGAAGACGACGACGUUGAUAGGCCGGGUGUGUAAGCGCAGCGAUGCGUUGAGCUAACCGGUACUAAUGAACCGUGAGGCUUAACCUUACAACGCCGAAG
RNAcentral lists this ribosomal RNA (1348 nucleotides) under Escherichia coli. RNAcentral's name for it is "partial 23S ribosomal RNA". It matches the Rfam family "Bacterial large subunit ribosomal RNA", at positions 1613 to 2925 of the family's 2925-position model. The record is from RNAcentral. Lineage: Bacteria; Pseudomonadati; Pseudomonadota; Gammaproteobacteria; Enterobacterales; Enterobacteriaceae.